This 75-nucleotide transfer RNA is filed under the name Bartonella tamiae Th239. It matches the Rfam family "tRNA". Rfam says of the family: Transfer RNA (tRNA) molecules are approximately 80 nucleotides in length. Their secondary structure includes four short double-helical elements and three loops (D, anti-codon, and T loops). Further hydrogen bonds mediate the characteristic L-shaped molecular structure. tRNAs have two regions of fundamental functional importance: the anti-codon, which is responsible for specific mRNA codon recognition, and the 3' end, to which the tRNAs corresponding amino acid is attached (by aminoacyl-tRNA synthetases). tRNAs cope with the degeneracy of the genetic code in two manners: having more than one tRNA (with a specific anti-codon) for a particular amino acid; and 'wobble' base-pairing, i.e. permitting non-standard base-pairing at the 3rd anti-codon position. The record is from Rfam by way of RNAcentral. Lineage: Bacteria; Pseudomonadati; Pseudomonadota; Alphaproteobacteria; Hyphomicrobiales; Bartonellaceae.
GGGCCUGUAGCUCAAUUUGGUUAGAGCCAGCGGCUCAUAACCGCUUGGUUGGGGGUUCGAGUCCCUCCGGGCCCA